AGAGUUUGAUCCUGGCUCAGAACGAACGCUGGCGGCAGGCCUAACACAUGCAAGUCGAGCGAGGUAGCAAUACCUAGCGGCGGACGGGUGAGUAACGCGUGGGAACGUGCCCCUUGGUACGGAAUAGCCCCGGGAAACUGGGAGUAAUACCGUAUGAGCUCUACGGAGGAAAGAUUUAUCGCCAAGGGAUCGGCCCGCGUUGGAUUAGGUAGUUGGUGGGGUAAUGGCCUACCAAGCCGACGAUCCAUAGCUGGUUUGAGAGGAUGAUCAGCCACACUGGGACUGAGACACGGCCCAGACUCCUACGGGAGGCAGCAGUGGGGAAUCUUAGACAAUGGGGGAAACCCUGAUCUAGCCAUGCCGCGUGAUCGAUGAAGGCCUUAGGGUUGUAAAGAUCUUUCAGUGGGGAAGAUAAUGACUGUACCCACAGAAGAAGCCCCGGCUAACUCCGUGCCAGCAGCCGCGGUAAUACGGAGGGGGCUAGCGUUGUUCGGAAUUACUGGGCGUAAAGCGCACGUAGGCGGAUCAGAAAGUCAGAGGUGAAAUCCCAGGG
RNAcentral lists this ribosomal RNA (553 nucleotides) under uncultured freshwater bacterium. Its description in RNAcentral is "bacterial SSU rRNA". It matches the Rfam family "Bacterial small subunit ribosomal RNA", at positions 8 to 607 of the family's 1533-position model. The record is from RNAcentral.